CCCUUAGAUGUUCUGGGCCGCACGCGCGCUACACUGACGAAUGCAACGAGCUUAUAACCUUGGCCGAAAGGUCUGGGUAAUCUCCAAAUUUCGUCGUGAUGGGGAUAGAAUAUUGCAAUUAUUAAUCUUCAACGAGGAAUGCCUAGUAAGCGCAAGUCAUCAGCUUGCGUUGAUUACGUCCCUGCCCUUUGUACACACCGCCCGUCGCUCCUACCGAUUGAAUGGUCCGGUGAAGCGUUCGGACCGUGGCCUUUGGACGGUUCGCCGUCUGUUGGCUGCGGGAAGUUCGUUAAACCUUAUCAUUUAGAGGAAGGAGAAGUCGUAACA
Molecule: ribosomal RNA, 327 nt
Filed under: uncultured eukaryote
Lineage: Eukaryota
Description: partial 18S ribosomal RNA
Rfam family: Eukaryotic small subunit ribosomal RNA
Source: RNAcentral